This is a long non-coding RNA of Pygocentrus nattereri (red-bellied piranha), 481 nucleotides long. RefSeq lists it as uncharacterized. The transcript has 3 exons. The record is from RefSeq and is a predicted model, not a curated record. NCBI's taxonomy places the organism in Eukaryota, Metazoa, Chordata, Actinopteri, Characiformes, Serrasalmidae.
UAAACAGCUGUGAAAUAUAGGAGUAAUGAGCAUUUAUGGAGUUAUUCAUGCACCUGAAGUGAAGAGCACCCUUCCUAUUCCACGAGCGUUCCGGUGUACUCCGACUGGGGUUUUUGUACUGAUGAUUGUGGAUGGCGAGCCGAGCCCUGGACUUGAUCGAAGAGACUUGGAACGUUGGGAUGCGAAUGGACUGAACUUCAUCUUCAGUGCAGCCAAGACUUGUGGAACCAGAUAAGAUAGACCUUCAUAACUCACUACCCAGGUUGUCCAUCUCCCUGCCAUCCCGUAACAAUGUCACCACCAAAACCCAGAGAUUUUGUCUGUGGGUGGAGCCUAUCGUCUUAGCCACGCCCCUACACAUUAGCACAGGAAGUGAGGCUGCAUCCCUGUCCCUCAUGGCCACAUGGUGAGCAGUUAGAUCCCAUUGUUUUGAAGUGAAUGUGUCCCAAAGUCUGGAAAUCGGUCUGGAAUGUUAAGAAUU